Mercenaria mercenaria is the source of this 638-nucleotide long non-coding RNA. RefSeq lists it as uncharacterized. The record is from RefSeq and is a predicted model, not a curated record. The transcript is spliced from 4 exons. NCBI's taxonomy places the organism in Eukaryota, Metazoa, Mollusca, Bivalvia, Venerida, Veneridae.
UUAUUACUUAAACUGUAGAUAAUGGCACAAUUUACAUACAGGUAUCAGUUUGUUUAGAGUUUUUGUAUUUUGACACUUUACUUUUUUGAAAAGGUCAGAGUAAUUUAUGAUAUAAAUGUUCAUGGUGAAGUUGCUGUGAAAGCCAAAGGCACUUUUUAAUUAUUUAUAUAAUUUCACAUUUUCUUGGCAGUCAGAUUGUUUUGACACUAUUGCACAAACAUAUGAUCAUUUUAGAUGUUCCUUUAUUUAAUGAAAGAUAAUAAGACUGGCUUCCAUCAUUUUUCAGAUGUUGUACAACUACAGGACUCUCAAUCUCACUCAAGUUGAUGGGUCAGUUGCACUGUAAUUCACACUGGUCACGGGAAAAAGUGCCGCUGGGUGGGAAUCAAUUGUAGUUUCUCCGGAAAAGAUGUUACAGCCAGUGUAUGAAGACUGAACUUUUGAUAGGUCACAGGUGCUCUCGCAAAGACUGAUGGCCUGGCAGCAUAAACUAUUCUAUGGUUAUAGGGGUAAUGUCUUUAAACAGAAGCAUGCUGUUGUGGAGUGAAAGUGCACAAACCAUUGAUAACCCUUUGGAGAAUCAGUACCAGAUGUCUUUUCAAAUGUUUGCCAUUCUGAAGUUUUUUUUUGACUGAGCA